CGGAACGUGCCCAAUAGUGGGGGAUAGCCCGGCGAAAGCCGGAUUAAUACCGCAUGAGACCUGAGGGUGAAAGCGGGGGAUUCGCAAGAACCUCGCGCUAUUGGAGCGGCCGAUAUCAGAUUAGGUAGUUGGUGGGGUAAAAGCCUACCAAGCCGACGAUCUGUAGCUGGUCUGAGAGGACGACCAGCCACACUGGGACUGAGACACGGCCCAGGCUCCUACGGGAGGCAGCAGUGGGGAAUUUUUGACAAUGGGCGCAAGCCUGAUCCAGCCAUGCCGCGUGCGGGAAGAAGGCCUUCGGGUUGUAAACCGCUUUUGUCAGGGAAGAAAUCCUUUGAGUUAAUACCUCGGGGGGAUGACGGUACCUGAAGAAUAAGCACCGGCUAACUACGUGCCAGCAGCCGCGGUAAUACGUAGGGUGCGAGCGUUAAUCGGAAUUACUGGGCGUAAAGCGUGCGCAGGCGGUCUUGCAAGACAGGUGUGAAAUCCCCGGGCUUAACCUGGGAACUGCACCUGUGACUGCAAGGCUGGAGUACGGCAGAGGGGGAUGGAAUUCCGCGUGUAGCAGUGAAAUGCGUAGAUAUGCGGAGGAACACCGAUGGCGAAGGCAAUCCCCUGGGCCUGUACUGACGCUCAUGCACGAAAGCGUGGGGAGCAAACAGGAUUAGAUACCCUGGUAGUCCACGCCCUAAACGAUGUCAACUGGUUGUUGGACGGCUUGCUGUUCAGUAACGAAGCUAACGCGUGAAGUUGACCGCCUGGGGAGUACGGCCGCAAGGUUGAAACUCAAAGGAAUUGACGGGGACCCGCACAAGCGGUGGAUGAUGUGGUUUAAUUCGAUGCAACGCGAAAAACCUUACCUACCCUUGACAUGUCUGGAAUCCUGAAGAGAUUUGGGAGUGCUCGAAAGAGAACCAGAACACAGGUGCUGCAUGGCCGUCGUCAGCUCGUGUCGUGAGAUGUUGGGUUAAGUCCCGCAACGAGCGCAACCCUUGUCAUUAGUUGCUACGAAAGGGCACUCUAAUGAGACUGCCGGUGACAAACCGGAGGAAGGUGGGGAUGACGUCAGGUCCUCAUGGCCCUUAUGGGUAGGGCUACACACGUCAUACAAUGGCCGGUACAGAGGGCUGCCAACCCGCGAGGGGGAGCCAAUCCCAGAAAACCGGUCGUAGUCCGGAUCGUAGUCUGCAACUCGACUGCGUGAAGUCGGAAUCGCUAGUAAUCGCGGAUCAGCUUGCCGCGGUGAAUACGUUCCCGGGUCUUGUACACACCGCCCGUCACACCAUGGGAGCGGGUUCUGCCAGAAGUAGUUAGCCUAACCGCAAGGAGGGCGAUUACCACGGCAGGGUUCGUGACUGGGGUGAAGUCGUAACAAGGUA
RNAcentral lists this ribosomal RNA (1379 nucleotides) under metagenome. Its description in RNAcentral is "bacterial SSU rRNA". It matches the Rfam family "Bacterial small subunit ribosomal RNA". The record is from RNAcentral.